Molecule: ribosomal RNA, 277 nt
Filed under: uncultured prokaryote
Description: partial 16S ribosomal RNA
Rfam family: Bacterial small subunit ribosomal RNA
Source: RNAcentral
CACGUAGGGGGCAAGCGUUGUCCGGAAUUAUUGGGCGUAAAGAGCGCGCAGGUGGUUGAUUAAGUCUGAUGUGAAAGCCCACGGCUUAACCGUGGAGGGUCAUUGGAAACUGGUCGACUUGAGUGCAGAAGAGGGAAGUGGAAUUCCAUGUGUAGCGGUGAAAUGCGUAGAGAUAUGGAGGAACACCAGUGGCGAAGGCGGCUUCCUGGUCUGUAACUGACACUGAGGCGCGAAAGUCGGGGGAGCAAACAGGAUUAGAUACCCGGGUAGUCCCUGA